Molecule: long non-coding RNA, 201 nt
Organism: Hyla sarda
Lineage: Eukaryota; Metazoa; Chordata; Amphibia; Anura; Hylidae
Exons: 3
Source: RefSeq, a predicted model, not a curated record
UCACUGGGCGUGUAUUGUAGCCUGCAUAGAGCGCGCGUAUAUCCGGCAACAGUACGGGAGUGCUGCCAUUGCAGCUUCUAUAUUUCAUAUCCUUGACCUCUAAACAUAGCGUUGGUUCUCAGGUGCCCCCGGUGGUUAUGUCCCCUGGCUAUAAUAUACACUGAAUGGGACUAACUACUACCCACUAGGGAUGGACAUCAU